Triticum dicoccoides is the source of this 3321-nucleotide long non-coding RNA. RefSeq lists it as uncharacterized. The record is from RefSeq and is a predicted model, not a curated record. The transcript has 11 exons. Lineage: Eukaryota; Viridiplantae; Streptophyta; Magnoliopsida; Poales; Poaceae.
CGUCCCCUCCACCCCGAUGCCCCCCAUCUCUCUCACUUCUCUCUCUCCCGUUCCCUUUUUUCGCCGCCGCCUCCGUCGGCCGGUUCCGGCGAACGCUGGCGGUCUCCGCCGUCGUGGUGGCUACCAAUCUCUUCCUCUCCUCGCGCUCUAUAUGAUCCACCGCAUCGAUUCAUCGAUCCCAUCCUCAUGUGGUUGCCCGCAUCGGAUUUACCCGUCUAGCGUUUCGGUGCGGUCGACUUCCUCAUCGCCGGCGAUGCUCCGGCGCCUUGGUCCGGUCGUCUUUGUCUUCUGCCGUGCUCUCUCGUGCUGCUCUGCUUCCUAACGGCGCUCCCGUGCCUCAGAUGCACGCCAGGGCGGCACGGUGAGCAGGUGGGAGGAGAAGGCGGCGGCGAUUUCGAUCUAUUAUUCUGCGUUGACACGGGAGGCGGUAGAGCGGUCUGGACGAGAUUCCUGGUGCCGGUUUCCUCACCAUGCUGAGGCCACCUGCAUCGAGCAAUGGUUGAUGCCAAGGCUUUAAGGACCUGUUCGGGUUCUCUCCGCUCCACAACUACGGCUCCCGGAGCGGAGGGAGGGGCAGCACAAAUCAGGGAGUGGCUCAAACUGAGGUCCUCGUCUCCUCUACAGCUCGGAGCGGAGUUUUGAGAUUGGAGAGGUUGCGAACAGGCUCUAAGAAUGGACUGCAGCUCUGACCCAAGCAGCGUGAAGCUCCUGAGUCGCAUAUAGCAGAUCUCAAGAGAGGUUUCACUGAAAUUUCAGCAUUCUUCUCCAAUAAUGAGCGUUUAAGAAGGUUGCACACGGAAACCUUAUUCAAAUUCACCAACCAGGAGCAUAAAGGGACAUCAAAUAACUUAAGCAUGACUAUGAAAUGAACUGAAACUCCCUGGAGAGCAAGCUCCGCUGCACUCUUGUCCAGCAAGGCACCGAUGAAGGAUUCUGUUUUUGGGAGACCUGAUUAUGGGGCCAACACGGUCAUGCAAAUUUUUUUGGCAGCAGAAGGUAAUCUAAUAUCAGGAAGGGGCAUCUCACAAUACUGCAGCUAUUAAAAAGAAUCCAAAACAGAGGCGUCUAGGAGAACGAGCUUUGUUGCUGUUCAUCUCCCAGGAUGGUUAUUGCCAAUUACCAGAACCAUGUCAAGCACAAUAAACUGAGGUCCUUUCAUACUACAUGCCUUCUAUUUCAUUUCUGCAUAUUUGAGAGAGGUGGGCGACUCUGCCUGAGCUGCAUGCUAUAUGGCUGGAAGCCAGAGCUCGGGCCCGACGCCUCCGCUCGCCGUUUCCCACGCCUCCGGCGCCCCUGGUGAUUUCCGUGUGGAUCAGGUCUUCAGGGUGCCAAUAUUUUCGGACGUAGUUGGGCCAGCAAGCUCAGAUCUGAAGGAGAGAAUUGACAUGGGUAGCCGACGAGAGGGCAAGAUUCGUACGUGGCGGUGAAUUUAGAUGGCGGCGGCACCAGUGCGGACGAUGCCAAUAGCAAGGACAGCGAGCCGGCGUAGUCCGAAUAGUGUGGAGUGAAUUGAAGCCGGAUCCGCAAGCAUCCGAGUGGAUUAAAGCGGGGGGUGGAGGUGAUGCGAUCUACUCGGGAAUAAGUGAAUGAUAUCAUUAUGAUGCCAAAUUAGUCCGCAAAUACUGCUGCUUCUAGAAUCUGAAUGUACCCGCUAUGCAUGUUGCAGGCAAUGAACUAUUUUACAAGAUAAAAUAUCAGGAAGGGGCAUCUCAUAAUACUGCAGCUAUUAAAAAGAAUCCAAAUGAGCCCGCGGUAAGGAUUUGGUUUACAGUGGUUAUACUUUAUAUAUCAUCUCAAGGCAACUUUAGCUCAUUGGUUAAAUUUGAUUCUCCGUUCAAUUGGUUAAAUUUGGUUCUCCCUUCAAGUUAGAUGAGCCUCUCAUUAAUAUAAAUUCAGUCGUAGAACAUUAUCAUUUAUAAGUUUUCUUUUUUGUUAUACAUUGUUAACUGUAAGAUAUCCUGAUUACUGUACUGUUUUACUUUGAUGAGUCACCAUCGUCGUCCAGAGACAGGUCGGCAAGGGAGGCUAUGAGGAAUUGGGUACAUCCAAACUUCCCCUGUGAUAUCUUUAUUUUAUUCCUCAGUUUAAGCCCAUGGAUAAGAAUAUUUCAGUCGCUGAAGAGAUUGUUGAACAUAUGACAUUGAUGCAAAUCUCUGGCCACCUACAAGUGAAACUGCUUGAAGACCAAGUUCGAAUAUGUAUGAGCGCAGUGAAGUUCGGCAUGCAAGUCUAUUCGCAGUCUCGCACCCUAAUGUAAUCAGUCGAGUAGUGACGGGAAGGCGCCGCCGACCAGGAUGUGGAGGAAGAUGGGGUUGAGACGGGUUGGUGAAGGUGUUGUGGCUGGUCGUUGGCCAAGCAGCCGCCUCUCCCUCGUCUUUGACAUCGUGAAGAAUGAUGUUGAAAUGGAUGCGUGCUGCAGGAGCAGCAGAGGCGUCGUGUGAGCCUUGGGUUCUUCAUCAAUUCGUUCGUGCGUUCCCUUGGUCGCAUGCACGCCUCAGGAUCAGCUCGGAGUUGAAUACUUAACUGGUUCAGGAAAGCUUCAAAUACAAUAGUGGCAAACAUCUCCAUUGAUGCUACAAAGCAUCUCGAUGAUUUUGAAGCGAGUCUUCAUGUUAAUUACAUUACUUUUUGUAUCAUGCCCUAUUGAUCGAAAAGUUACUUAGCCCUAAUCAUCCAUGCUUAAUAAUGAGGAUCGUUUUGGGAUUUUGUUUAGCUUUCCAACACUUCCAUAGUUUAUUAGUACAGAGCUAGAUCUCUCACUGUGCUGAUCACACGUAAUGAAGUCAUUUUACUUGGCUUUCUAGCAACGGGUCAGCAAGUGGGUCAUGAUGAACCAAAUUAUGUUCUCUCUCUUGCAUAUAGAUGCUCACGAUUAUACUGAUCUGAUCAAUUGUAGGUUCCAUAGGAACACUGAACUUGAUUUUGUUGCCUCCUCGUAGCAGGGCCAGGGAAGCAGUGUCAAGUGGAUCCUGGAAGAGCACUGGUGUGGGAUCCGCUGCUGCCAGGUAUGCUUUUCUUCCUUCCCGUCCUCUCGAUCCACUUCCUCUCUUUGUUUCUGAAUUUUGCACUCAAAUUGUGAGGUGAGGCUCAAAAAAUACAGUGGUUACCGACGGCGGCGACGACCACGAAGAUUGUCCCAGCAUCUGGAACAGUGGAUGCAUUGAGAUCGAGAUGACGAUUAGCCACUCCAUCCACGAUCACUGUUUUCCCCCUUUCUUUUUGUGGAGAUGAUUUCACUACUCUUUAUCAAUGCUGUAAUAACCAAGGUGCAUGUGUGACUCGUUCAAUCAAGUGUGUAAUGAACCCUGCUUAAUAUGCCUA